RNAcentral lists this ribosomal RNA (253 nucleotides) under uncultured bacterium. RNAcentral describes it as "partial 16S ribosomal RNA". It matches the Rfam family "Bacterial small subunit ribosomal RNA", at positions 524 to 776 of the family's 1533-position model. The record is from RNAcentral.
UACGGAGGGGGCUAGCGUUGUUCGGAAUUACUGGGCGUAAAGCGCACGUAGGCGGCUUUGUAAGUUAGAGGUGAAAGCCCUGGGCUCAACUCAGGAAGUGCACCCGAUACUACGUGGCUCGAGUACCGGAGAGGUUGGUGGAAUUCUCGGUGUAGAGGUGAAAUUCGUAGAUAUCGAGAGGAACACCUGUGGCGAAGGCGGCCAACUGGACGAGUACUGACGCUGAGACACGAAAGCGUGGGGAGCAAGCAGG